CCUACGGUGAGCAGCAGUAGGGAAUCUUCCACAAUGGGCGAAAGUCUGAUGGAGCCACGCCGCGUGGGUGAAGAAGGUCUUAGGAUCGUAAAACCGUGUUGUUAGAGAAGAAAGCGCGUGAGAGUAACUGUUCACGUUUCGACGGUAUAUAACCAGAAAGCCACGGCUAACUACGUGCCAGCAGCCGCGGUAAUACGUAGGUGGCAAGCGUUAUCCGGAUUUAUUGGGCGUAAAGGGAACGCAGGCGGUCAUUUAAGUCUGAUGUGAAAGCCUUCGGCUUAAACGGGGUAGUGCAUUGGAAACUGGGAGACUUGAGUUCAGAAGAGGAGAGUGGAACGCGAUGUGUAGCGGUGAAAUGCUUAGAUAU
Molecule: ribosomal RNA, 367 nt
Filed under: uncultured bacterium
Lineage: Bacteria
Description: partial 16S ribosomal RNA
Rfam family: Bacterial small subunit ribosomal RNA
Source: RNAcentral